Molecule: ribosomal RNA, 495 nt
Filed under: uncultured soil bacterium
Lineage: Bacteria
Description: bacterial SSU rRNA
Rfam family: Bacterial small subunit ribosomal RNA
Source: RNAcentral
AGAUUGAACGCUGGCGGCAGGCCUAACACAUGCAAGUCGAGCGGCAGCACGGGUACUUGUACCUGGUGGCGAGCGGCGGACGGGUGAGUAAUGCCUAGGAAUCUGCCUGAUAGUGGGGGAUAACGUUCGGAAACGGACGCUAAUACCGCAUACGUCCUACGGGAGAAAGUGGGGGAUCUUCGGACCUCACGCUAUCAGAUGAGCCUAGGUCGGAUUAGCUAGUUGGUAGGGUAAAGCCUACCAAGGCUACGAUCCGUAACUGGUCUGAGAGGAUGAUCAGUCACACUGGAACUGAGACACGGUCCAGACUCCUACGGGAGGCAGCAGUGGGGAAUUUUGGACAAUGGGCGAAAGCCUGAUCCAGCCAUGCCGCGUGCAGGAUGAAGGCCUUCGGUUGUAACUGCUUUUGUACGUAACGAAAGUCUCUUUACUAAUAAAGUAGGAUCAUGUACGGUACGUAAGAAUAAGCACCGACUAACUACGUGCCAGCAGCCG